RNAcentral lists this unclassified non-coding RNA (355 nucleotides) under Hevea brasiliensis (rubber tree). The record is from RNAcentral. Lineage: Eukaryota; Viridiplantae; Streptophyta; Magnoliopsida; Malpighiales; Euphorbiaceae.
GAUGACCCUUUCUCUUUCCGUUCUGGUGGCGAUCGAGAUGUUCAACUCACUUAAUGCCUUGUCUGAAGAUGGGAGCCUCCUCAGCAUGCCUCCGUGGGUCAACCCCUGGCUUCUUGUGGCCAUGUCCAUCUCUUUUGGCCUCCAUUUCUUAAUCUUGUAUGUGCCCUUUCUCGCUCAAGUGUUUGGUAUUGUUCCCCUCAGUUUGAACGAGUGGCUGCUGGUGUUAGCCGUUGCCUUGCCUGUGAUUCUGAUCGAUGAGGUUCUCAAGUUGGUCGGGCGGUGCACAAGCUCAUCUGGUGACAAGAGACGUCCGCUAAAGCACAAGGAUGAGUAGAAGCUAACUGGUGAAGGUGGA